Molecule: small RNA, 30 nt
Filed under: Bombyx mori (domestic silkworm)
Lineage: Eukaryota; Metazoa; Arthropoda; Insecta; Lepidoptera; Bombycidae
Description: ovarian small RNA-3687
Source: RNAcentral
UGAUCAGAGUCUGGCCGAUAAUGGCCACCA